RNAcentral lists this ribosomal RNA (489 nucleotides) under uncultured bacterium. RNAcentral's name for it is "partial 16S ribosomal RNA". It matches the Rfam family "Bacterial small subunit ribosomal RNA", at positions 28 to 507 of the family's 1533-position model. The record is from RNAcentral.
GAUGAACGCUAGCGGCAGGCUUAAUACAUGCAAGUCGAGGGGCAGCAGGACUGUAGCAAUCCAGUUGCUGGCGACCGGCACACGGGUGCGGAACACGUACGCAACCUACCCAAAACUGGGGGAUAGCCCGGGGAAACCCGGAUUAAUACCUCGUAACCUCUUUAAGUGGCAUCACUUGAUAAGUAUAGCUCCGGCGGUUUUGGAUGGGCGUGCGCCUGAUUAGGUAGUUGGUGCGGGUAACGGCCCACCAAGCCUGCGAUCAGUAACUGGUGUGAGAGCACGACCAGUCACACGGGCACUGAGACACGGGCCCGACUCCUACGGGAGGCAGCAGUAAGGAAUAUUGGUCAAUGGACGCAAGUCUGAACCAGCCAUGCCGCGUGAAGGAUGAAGGUCCUCUGGAUUGUAAACUUCUUUUAUGGGGGACGAAACCCGGAUAUUCUUAUCCGAUUGACGGUACCUCAGGAAUAAGCACCGGCUAACUCCGUG